CUGGGAUGUGAUGGGGAGCGAAAUUUAGUAGCGAAGUAGCUGAUUUCACACUGUCAAGAAAAGUCUCUAUCGAGGUUAAAGGUACCCGUACCGCAAACCGACCCAGGUGGGUGAGGAGAGUAUCCUAAGGCCAGCGAGAGAACUGUUGUUAAGGAACUCGGCAAAAUGACCCCGUAACUUAGGGAUAAGGGGUGCCACCAUCAGG
This 205-nucleotide ribosomal RNA is filed under the name Clostridioides difficile. RNAcentral describes it as "partial 23S ribosomal RNA". It matches the Rfam family "Bacterial large subunit ribosomal RNA", at positions 1556 to 1761 of the family's 2925-position model. The record is from RNAcentral. Lineage: Bacteria; Bacillati; Bacillota; Clostridia; Peptostreptococcales; Peptostreptococcaceae.